AGAACGAACGCUGGCGGCAUGCCUAACACAUGCAAGUCGAACGCUCUGCGGGUUUCGGCCCUCAGGGAGUGGCGCACGGGUGAGUAGCGCGUGGGAACCUGCCCUUCAGUGGGGGAUAACCGAGGGAAACUUCGGCUAAUACCGCAUACGCCGGGAAACCGGGAAAGAUUUAUCGCUCUAGGAGGGGCCCGCGUCGGAUUAGGUAGUUGGUGGGGUAACGGCCUACCAAGCCUGUGAUCCGUAGCUGGUCUGAGAGGAUGAUCAGCCACACUGGGACUGAGACACGGCCCAGACUCCUACGGGAGGCAGCAGUGGGGAAUAUUGGACAAUGGGCGCAAGCCUGAUCCAGCAAUGCCGCGUGAGUGAUGAAGGCCUUCGGGUUGUAAAGCUCUUUCGCACGCGAGGAUGAUGACGCUAGCGUGAGAAGAAGCCCGGCUAACUUCGUGCCAGCAGCCGC
This 457-nucleotide ribosomal RNA is filed under the name uncultured bacterium. RNAcentral describes it as "SSU rRNA". It matches the Rfam family "Bacterial small subunit ribosomal RNA", at positions 26 to 518 of the family's 1533-position model. The record is from RNAcentral.